RNAcentral lists this ribosomal RNA (305 nucleotides) under uncultured bacterium. RNAcentral describes it as "partial 16S ribosomal RNA". It matches the Rfam family "Bacterial small subunit ribosomal RNA", at positions 337 to 639 of the family's 1533-position model. The record is from RNAcentral.
CCCUACGGGGGGCAGCAGUGGGGGAUAUUGCACAAUGGGGGGAAGCCUGAACCAGCCAAGUCGCGUGAAGGAAUAAGGCCCUACGGGUCGUAAACCUCUUUUGCCGGGGAGCAAGGGCCGGGACGAGUCCCGGUCCGGAGAGUACCCGGAGAAAAAGCAUCGGCUAACUCCGUGCCAGCAGCCGCGGUAAUACGGAGGAUGCGAGCGUUAUCCGGAUUUAUUGGGUUUAAAGGGUGCGUAGGCGGGCUUUUAAGUCAGCGGUAAAAAUUCGGGGCUCAACCCCGUCCGGCCGUUGAAACUGGGGG